GAUGAACGCUGGCGGUGUGCCUAAUACAUGCAAGUCGAGCGAACAGACGAGGAGCUUGCUCCUUCGACGUUAGCGGCGGGCGGGUGAGUAACACGUAGAUAACCUACCUAUAAGACUGGGAUAACUUCGGGAAACCGGAGCUAAUACCGGAUAAUAUUUCGAACCGCAUGGUUCGAUAGUGAAAGAUGGCUUUGCUAUCACUUAUAGAUGGAUCCGCGUCGUAUUAGCUAGUUGGUAAGGUAACGGCUUACCAAGGCAACGAUGCGUAGCCGACCUGAGAGGGUGAUCGGCCACACUGGAACUGAGACACGGUCCAGACUCCUACGGGAGGCAGCAGUAGGGAAUCUUCCGCAAUGGGCGAAAGCCUGACGGAGCAACGCCGCGUGAGUGAAGAAGGUCUUCGGAUCGUAAAACUCUGUUAUUAGGGAAGAACAAACGUGUAAGUAACUAUGCACGUCUUGACGGUACCUAAUCAGAAAGCCACGGCUAACUACGUG
RNAcentral lists this ribosomal RNA (497 nucleotides) under uncultured bacterium. RNAcentral describes it as "partial 16S ribosomal RNA". It matches the Rfam family "Bacterial small subunit ribosomal RNA", at positions 28 to 507 of the family's 1533-position model. The record is from RNAcentral.